AGAGAACCUGGAGUCCCUCCAAAAGGUGCCCCAUUGAUUCAAAAGCCAGACACUUCUUUGUCAACAAAGGCAUCCCACGGCGAAAAGUCUGGAGGAUAAAUUGCACUUGGCUCAUCGUCGUGUAAUCAGAAAUUCAUUCAUGUGAGGAAAAAGCAGUUAAAACUUAUGGAAAAAUGCCAAAGAAAGCGGCUGUCUGACUGAUUGCUUUUUGGCAGAGACUGAGAUCAAGAUUUACCAAGGAAAGCCCACGUAUAUGACCCAAGAGGAAGUUACAGAGCUCAAGAGCAUUACUAAGCCUGGAAACUGGAAUUUCAGUUGCAAGGUAUCAGGUGGCUCUUUCAAAUGAAUUUUUAAGUAUCUCAGUGAUGAUGAAGAAGAACAGAGACAUCAAUUAGGAUUCAGGAAGACAAGUCUUUGCAGAAAAUGCUUAGAGCAUCAAGGAUUGCUAUUAAUAUUUGAAAGUUUAAAAGAGGGUAUACUUUUCUUUAGUCAACAAAUGACAAAAGUAAAGGCACUAUUUUCAUUGUUCCUGGAAGAAACUGGGCAGUAUUCCAUUCAGACAUCUGCCCUGUGAUCGUCCCGUUUUCCUCUUUA
Prionailurus viverrinus (fishing cat) is the source of this 594-nucleotide long non-coding RNA. RefSeq lists it as uncharacterized. NCBI's taxonomy places the organism in Eukaryota, Metazoa, Chordata, Mammalia, Carnivora, Felidae. The record is from RefSeq and is a predicted model, not a curated record. The transcript is spliced from 3 exons.